RNAcentral lists this ribosomal RNA (228 nucleotides) under uncultured bacterium. RNAcentral's name for it is "partial 16S ribosomal RNA". It matches the Rfam family "Bacterial small subunit ribosomal RNA", at positions 568 to 795 of the family's 1533-position model. The record is from RNAcentral.
CGCGUAGGCGGUUUUACAAGUCUGGUGUGAAAUAUCUCAGCUUAACUGAGGGACCGCGCUGGAAACUGUAAGACUAGAAUCUAGGAGGGGAAGCUGGAAUUCCUGGUGUAGGGGUGAAAUCUGUAGAUAUCAGGAAGAACACCGGUGGCGAGGGCGAACUUCUGGCCAUAGAUUGACGCUGAGGCGCGAAAGCGUGGGGAGCGAACAGGAUUAGAUACCCUGGUAGUC